GAGGAAUUUUGCGCAAUGGGGGAAACCCUGACGCAGCAACGCCGCGUGAGUGAAGAAGGCCCUUGGGUCGUAAAGCUCUGUCAAUGGGGAAGAAGUUGUGUGGUUCGAAUAGGGCCAUGCAUUGACGGUACCCAUGAAGGAAGCACCGGCUAACUCCGUGCCAGCAGCCGCGGUAAUACGGAGGGUGCAAGCGUUAUUCGGAAUUAUUGGGCGUAAAGGGCGCGUAGGCGGCCUGUUAAGUCAUCUGUGAAAUUUCGGGGCUUAACCCCGGAGCUGCAUGUGAUACUGGCAGGCUUGAGUAUGGCAGAGGAAAGCGGAAUUCCUGGUGUAGCGGUGAAAUGCGUAGAUAUCAGGAGGAACACCGGUGGCGAAGGCGGCUUUCUGGACCAAUACUGACGCUGAUGCGCGAAGGCGUGGGUAGCAAAC
This 426-nucleotide ribosomal RNA is filed under the name uncultured bacterium. Its description in RNAcentral is "bacterial SSU rRNA". It matches the Rfam family "Bacterial small subunit ribosomal RNA", at positions 356 to 773 of the family's 1533-position model. The record is from RNAcentral.